RNAcentral lists this long non-coding RNA (277 nucleotides) under Elaeis guineensis (African oil palm). RNAcentral's name for it is "long non-coding RNA (EGUI_LNC041514)". The record is from RNAcentral. Lineage: Eukaryota; Viridiplantae; Streptophyta; Magnoliopsida; Arecales; Arecaceae.
GAUCAUAUCUACUUCUAAUUUAAAUUCAGAACUUGAUAUCUGAGUGUGGAUCGAUGAUUAUCACUAUUGAAAAUAUGGUAGAGAGAGUCUUUUCUGGUUGCUCAUAGCCGUAUAUAUGUCCAUCCUCUACGAAAAGUCCACUCGAAGCUUCGAUCUGAUCGAUCUUCUCGGGAAUGCUAGCUAAUGCAAAGAUCUUCUUUUUGACUAAUCUGGAUCUUUUCUUUGAAUCUCUAAAAUCUUUUCAGAGGUUGAACAUGGACUUCUGGAGGAGACGAAG